GGAGUUAGCCGGUGCUUCUUCUGUGAGUGAUGUCCUUCCUGCCGGCUAUUAACCCGCAGGCCUUCUUCCUCACUGAAAGUGCUUUACAACCCGAAGGCCUUCUUCACACACGCGGCAUGGCUGGAUCAGGGUUGCCCCCAUUGUCCAAUAUUCCCCACUGCUGCCUCCCGUAGGAGUCUGGGCCGUGUCUCAGUCCCAGUGUGGCUGAUCAUCCUCUCAGACCAGCUACGGAUCGUCGCCUUGGUGAGCCGUUACCUCACCAACCAGCUAAUCCGACAUAGGCUCAUCCGAUAGCGCGAGGCCCGAAGGUCCCCCGCUUUCCCCCGUAGGGCGUAUGCGGUAUUAGCCUGGGUUUCCCCAGGUUAUCCCCCACUACCGGGCAGAUUCCUAUGCAUUACUCACCCGUCCGCCGCUCGCCACCAGGGAGCAAGCUCCCCGUGCUGCCGCUCGACUUGCAUGUGUAGCUGCCGCCAGCGUCAUCUGAGCCAUGAUACAACUACUGA
This 503-nucleotide ribosomal RNA is filed under the name uncultured bacterium. RNAcentral describes it as "partial 16S ribosomal RNA". The record is from RNAcentral.